Non-coding RNA from Morus notabilis, 109 nucleotides. Lineage: Eukaryota; Viridiplantae; Streptophyta; Magnoliopsida; Rosales; Moraceae. The record is from Rfam.
UAACCAUGGUGAGGACACUGAUUUAACAGAUCCUUGAACUGUUCCCAAACUUGAUACAGAGUUUCAUUGUCCUUCUGGGUAAAGGUCGAGAUCUGUCGCUUCUGACCAU